CAAGGGGGUCAUCCCGACUUACCAACCCGAUGCAAACUGCGAAUACCGGAGAAUGUUAUCACGGGAGACACACGGCGGGUGCUAACGUCCGUCGUGAAGAGGGAAACAACCCAGACCGCCAGCUAAGGUCCCAAAGUCAUGGUUAAGUGGGAAACGAUGUGGGAAGGCCCAGACAGCCAGGAUGUUGGCUUAGAAGCAGCCAUCAUUUAAAGAAAGCGUAAUAGCUCACUGGUCGAGUCGGCCUGCGCGGAAGAUGUAACGGGGCUAAACCAUGCACCGAAGCUGCGGCAGCGACACUAUGUGUUGUUGGGUAGGGGAGCGUUCUGUAAGCCUGUGAAGGUGUACUGUGAGGUAUGCUGGAGGUAUCAGAAGUGCGAAUGCUGACAUAAGUAACGAUAAAGCGGGUGAAAAGCCCGCUCGCCGGAAGACCAAGGGUUCCUGUCCAACGUUAAUCGGGGCAGGGUGAGUCGACCCCUAAGGCGAGGCCGAAAGGCGUAGUCGAUGGGAAACAGGUUAAUAUUCCUGUACUUGGUGUUACUGCGAAGGGGGGACGGAGAAGGCUAUGUUGGCCGGGCGACGGUUGUCCCGGUUUAAGCGUGUAGGCUGAUUUUCCAGGCAAAUCCGGAAAAUCAAGGCUGAGGCGUGAUGACGAGGCACUACGGUGCUGAAGCAACAAAUGCCCUGCUUCCAGGAAAAGCCUCUAAGCAUCAGGUAACAUCAAAUCGUACCCCAAACCGACACAGGUGGUCAGGUAGAGAAUACCAAGGCGCUUGAGAGAACUCGGGUGAAGGAACUAGGCAAAAUGGUGCCGUAACUUCGGGAGAAGGCACGCUGAUAUGUAGGUGAAGCGACUUGCUCGUGGAGCUGAAAUCAGUCGAAGAUACCAGCUGGCUGCAACUGUUUAUUAAAAACACAGCACUGUGCAAACACGAAAGUGGACGUAUACGGUGUGACGCCUGCCCGGUGCCGGAAGGUUAAUUGAUGGGGUUAGCGGUAACGCGAAGCUCUUGAUCGAAGCCCCGGUAAACGGCGGCCGUAACUAUAACGGUCCUAAGGUAGCGAAAUUCCUUGUCGGGUAAGUUCCGACCUGCACGAAUGGCGUAAUGAUGGCCAGGCUGUCUCCACCCGAGACUCAGUGAAAUUGAACUCGCUGUGAAGAUGCAGUGUACCCGCGGCAAGACGGAAAGACCCCGUGAACCUUUACUAUAGCUUGACACUGAACAUUGAGCCUUGAUGUGUAGGAUAGGUGGGAGGCUUUGAAGUGUGGACGCCAGUCUGCAUGGAGCCGACCUUGAAAUACCACCCUUUAAUGUUUGAUGUUCUAACGUUGGCCCGUUAUCCGGGUUGCGGACAGUGUCUGGUGGGUAGUUUGACUGGGGCGGUCUCCUCCUAAAGAGUAACGGAGGAGCACGAAGGUUGGCUAAUCCUGGUCGGACAUCAGGAGGUUAGUGCAAUGGCAUAAGCCAGCUUGACUGCGAGCGUGACGGCGCGAGCAGGUGCGAAAGCAGGUCAUAGUGAUCCGGUGGUUCUGAAUGGAAGGGCCAUCGCUCAACGGAUAAAAGGUACUCCGGGGAUAACAGGCUGAUACCGCCCAAGAGUUCAUAUCGACGGCGGUGUUUGGCACCUCGAUGUCGGCUCAUCACAUCCUGGGGCUGAAGUAGGUCCCAAGGGUAUGGCUGUUCGCCAUUUAAAGUGGUACGCGAGCUGGGUUUAGAACGUCGUGAGACAGUUCGGUCCCUAUCUGCCGUGGGCGCUGGAGAACUGAGGGGGGCUGCUCCUAGUACGAGAGGACCGGAGUGGACGCAUCACUGGUGUUCGGGUUGUCAUGCCAAUGGCACUGCCCGGUAGCUAAAUGCGGAAGAGAUAAGUGCUGAAAGCAUCUAAGCACGAAACUUGCCCCGAGAUGAGUUCUCCCUGACUCCUUGAGAGUCCUGAAGGAACGUUGAAGACGACGACGUUGAUAGGCCGGGUGUGUAAGCGCAGCGAUGCGUUGAGCUAACCGGUACUAAUGAACCGUGAGG
RNAcentral lists this ribosomal RNA (2021 nucleotides) under Escherichia coli. Its description in RNAcentral is "partial 23S ribosomal RNA". It matches the Rfam family "Bacterial large subunit ribosomal RNA", at positions 919 to 2915 of the family's 2925-position model. Lineage: Bacteria; Pseudomonadati; Pseudomonadota; Gammaproteobacteria; Enterobacterales; Enterobacteriaceae. The record is from RNAcentral.